UUGUGCCACUGCACUCCAUCCUGGGCGACAGAGCAAGACUCUGUCUCAAAAAAAAAAAAAAUUGGAAUGAUACAGAGAAGACUGGCAUGGUCCCUGUGCAAGGAUGACAUGCAAAUUUGUAAAGUGUUCCAUAAAAAA
Molecule: small nuclear RNA, 138 nt
Filed under: Pongo abelii (Sumatran orangutan)
Lineage: Eukaryota; Metazoa; Chordata; Mammalia; Primates; Hominidae
Source: RNAcentral